RNAcentral lists this transfer RNA (128 nucleotides) under Colletotrichum lupini. RNAcentral's name for it is "tRNA-Gly". Lineage: Eukaryota; Fungi; Ascomycota; Sordariomycetes; Glomerellales; Glomerellaceae. The record is from RNAcentral.
GCGUGGUUGGAGUAGUGGUUAACUCAUUGCCCUCCCAUCAUCGGCAAAGGCAGAAAGUAGGUCAAUAUCUCUCCCCAAUACGGAAUUUCGCUGACCAAACAGCACUGGUUCGAACCCGGUGCCGCGCA